AGUGAACGCUGGCGGUAGGCCUAACACAUGCAAGUCGAACGGCAGCACAGUAAGAGCUUGCUCUUACGGGUGGCGAGUGGCGGACGGGUGAGGAAUACAUCGGAAUCUACUUUUUCGUGGGGGAUAACGUAGGGAAACUUACGCUAAUACCGCAUACGACCUACGGGUGAAAGCAGGGGAUCUUCGGACCUUGCGCGAUUGAAUGAGCCGAUGUCGGAUUAGCUAGUUGGCGGGGUAAAGGCCCACCAAGGCGACGAUCCGUAGCUGGUCUGAGAGGAUGAUCAGCCACACUGGAACUGAGACACGGUCCAGACUCUUACGGGAGGCAGCAGUGGGGAAUAUUGGACAAUGGGCGCAAGCCUGAUCCAGCCAUACCGCGUGGGUGAAGAAGGCCUUCGGGUUGUAAAGCCCUUUUGUUGGGAAAGAAAAGCAGCAGGUUAAUACCCCGCUGUUAUGACGGUACCCAAAGAAUAAGCACCGGCUAACUUCGUG
This 492-nucleotide ribosomal RNA is filed under the name uncultured bacterium. RNAcentral's name for it is "partial 16S ribosomal RNA". It matches the Rfam family "Bacterial small subunit ribosomal RNA", at positions 29 to 507 of the family's 1533-position model. The record is from RNAcentral.